This 824-nucleotide long non-coding RNA is filed under the name Cyanistes caeruleus (blue tit). Its description in RNAcentral is "lncRNA (ENSCCEG00000000967.1)". Lineage: Eukaryota; Metazoa; Chordata; Aves; Passeriformes; Paridae. The record is from RNAcentral.
GUUUGUGGUGCUCGCCAUGGGGCAAAUGGGCCAAUUCUGGAGGCAUGGAAGACAUUUUCUGUGCCAGCAGGCGCUCAUCGCAGUGGGGAUUGCAGUAGGCAGCCCCAGGUGCUAAGCUGCUGUAGACUACAGUCUGCAGCUGUGGUGUGUCAGAGCCCCUGAGUGAGUGCACUUGGGUUAGUGGUGCUCCCAGGGGAGGAAGAGCUAACCCUACAGGACCUGAGGAACUCCUACCAGAUGGGGGACCUCAUUGCAGUUUUCCUUUCUGGAGCAACCACGGGAAAAAGUUUAGCAUCACCUCAGAGACACCAGCCUGUGAAUCAAUAUGUAAAUAACCACCACCAAUUACCCCUUGAAGGCUGCAAAUGAAAAUGUUGCAUGCUGAGAUUAUUCAAAUUCUCAACAGGAAGAGAGGCAGAGGGUCUUCAGUGGAAAAGAAUUUCACCAGUAAAUCAUUCUUUGAGGAAGAAAUCCAACAUUUUGAAGUGAUUCUGCUAGAAUGAUAUCCACAUUCCUUAAUUUUAACUACUGCAGAUGUUGUUUACCAUAUCUCUACCUCCCAAGCCCAUCCUACAAAACAGUCACUCUGUGUUGGAAACAGAAAUUACAUCCUCUAAGAAUUUCCAUAUUGGCAGAGGAAAUUUAACUCCCUGCAUGAUUAAUGGCCCAGGCAGUGCUCUAUCAAACACAGAGUGUGCACUGGGGUGUUGGAUGCCUCUGACAGCCCAGGAGUGAUGAUCCUUGGGAGGGAUGCAAAGCAGACCGUGACAGAAUUGCCGUUGCCGACGCCUCCUGCCACAUCAAUAAAACGGCGGCGCACAACA